AACUAAAAGGAAGCAAUAGACAUGUCAACAAUGAACAAACUUAGACAGUUCCAAGAAUCAUCAGACCUAAAUCAACAUCAUAAACUCAAUUAAACAUAAAUAGUAGACUCUAAACUCAAAUCCCACCAAAUUCUCAUCAAUUAUCUUCUUACCCAAUUGCCACUUAUCAAUAAAAAGGGAGAAAAACGAACUCCGAUAUCUUCACUGAAU
Molecule: unclassified non-coding RNA, 210 nt
Filed under: Hevea brasiliensis (rubber tree)
Lineage: Eukaryota; Viridiplantae; Streptophyta; Magnoliopsida; Malpighiales; Euphorbiaceae
Source: RNAcentral